UAUUACGGCCAUAUCACGUUGAAAGCACCGGUUCUCGCCCGAUCACCAAAGUUAAGCAACAUCGAGCCUAGUUAGUACUUAGAUGGGUGACCGCUUGGGAAACCUAGGUGCUGUAAGCA
Non-coding RNA from Octopus bimaculoides (California two-spot octopus), 119 nucleotides. The record is from Rfam. Lineage: Eukaryota; Metazoa; Mollusca; Cephalopoda; Octopoda; Octopodidae.